CACAGGGGGACGCACGGGAAAGUUGGGGGGGGAUCCCAGGGAGAAUUACGGUCGGUGCAAGAAAGACAAUGGGAGCCGGAGUGAGAGAGCCUGGUGGCACAGGGCUGGCUGGAAAACGUUGCUGCUUUGUUACAAGCAUCCAAACAACUUUGUCAUCCUCAAUCUCCUGAGGACAUAUGCCAAGGGACCUUCCUCCAGCCACACAACAGUGACUCAGGAAUUAAGUAGAACUGAAUGUCAGAUCACAAGGUCAUCAGCAUCCAUUCUUCUCUUUCCAGUAUGUAAUUCAUCAGAAUCUACAGCAUACCAGAGCGCAGCUCCAGGACUGACAGCUUCCUUUGAACUGGCUGCUAAGGGAAAGCUCUGACUGAUACAGGCUAGCUUCUCCGGGUGGCUGGGAUCAUUGUCUAUGUAAUUCUCUCAGCCUGAGUCAGCACAAGGAGCAUUAUUCCCAGGAUUAGUCCUAAAUCUGUAGUUAUAGCCAUCAGUAAAAACCAACUACAAGCAACAAGGAAGCAGUGCAACUUUUCUGGAGAUACAGGCACCAGCAAUGGCAAAAUGCAAAUUCUAAUCAAUGACAUUAUAUCUUAAGAGAUAGAUAUGUUAAAUUGUGUGGGUAUUUAGCUGCAUUACUUACAUUAAUGUCAGUGGAGCUUGCAUAGCUAAAUCCCUGUACCUCAUUUUGAAAGUGUAUCCACAAAAUAAGAUUACAUGACAUACUAAUAUAAAAUAUAAAGAGGGUCAUCCUAUUGCUUCUUUAGAGCUUGAUCCUGCAUGCAUGCUGGUAAGAGUUGUGUGGGACCCCCACUAGAGCUCCUGAGUAGUGUGCUUUUUUACUCAUGAUCUACUAAGGAGAAGUUAGGUGAGAGGAGUGGGCAUUGAAGGCUGGUGGACUAGCAGGUCCACUGUACCUGGCUUUCAUCAGGAGGCACCAACAGUUGGCUGAAGGAGAGUGUUUGCUCAGAACUUCCAGGUACAUUUCUGUAUCAGGAGCCCUCAUGGUUGACCCCACAUUCAAUUGACCAAAUCCCAUCCUAAAAACACUCUAAAUUAUACUAGCCAGAAUGUUUCCUCUAUGGACAGGUCAGGGGCUAGAAUUCCUAGCAACUGAUAGCCAGAGGCUCUGUUCAACCCAAAUAUGCCUCUUUUGUGAGGGGAGAGAGGAGAGUGGGCAGUAUAAAGCCAGCUAUGUCAGCUUUAGGCUACUCUGGGAAUUUCCUAUGCUAGGCAAAUCCACAGCUAACUUUAGGGGAGCUCAAUGGCUGCUUUCUUGUGCUGCCACAAGAGGGGCCAAGGAUCUGGCCCACUUCCUUCUAAGUGUCGCUCUUCACAACACUUAUGUAGCCUCUGCUCCUGGCAGGCAAUGGGAGUAAUUAAAAAUCCUUAAAAUGGCCACUAUGCCCUGGAUUGCACUCAUGGCACAUAUGUUGUGGCCACUUGCCAUCUCUGUCCCAUCACAACCACUUCCACCCCUACUCACCCAUUCUCACCGCUCUGGUAAAGGUUUGCUCAGGUUGCUGAGCACUUCUGCAAGUCAUUGUCUUAAAACCUCUCUCCUCAGGUGUGGAGUAAACGUCAAGUGCUGAACUUCACCCUUUUGGUUUCCAUACUUCUUUCUGGAAGUCUCAGCAACCUGAAAAAUUUGAUCCUCAAAGUGAAAUCCAGUUAAUAAAAUCCUAUAUAAUUAUACCAAUAUGAUCCCUGUGACCUGAUGCUCUGGAGGGCCUGGCGCUCUCCUCCCUCCUCUGCUGGUGAAUAGGUGGAAGUAGUUACAGAAUUAGUACUUCAUUUGCAUAAGCUUUCUACCCCAAAUUCUUCUAGUAGCACUGUGGGAUCUGCCAUGCUAUACAGAAAUUCAGAAUUGGUUAUGUACCAGAAGUGACCUGACAGAGGGAGUGAAAAAUAUGGGCAUCUCCCUUGUGGUAAGAAAUCCCCAGUGGCAUGGUUAUAUGGUAUUGGUUCCUCUCUGGGGAUCUUGUGCUGUUGGGAAGACUGACAGGAAAUAACAGAGGAGGUGCAAUAGCCAGGUGCAACAGUCAGAUAGCUCAUUGCUGAAGCUGCAGAGGAAAGCAGCAGAGCUGAGUGAAUUGUAGUGAGGCCCCUUUCUAGCCAGCUAAUAAAGCUGAAAUCAUAGUUGGUUUAGGUGGUGGAGCCUCCGAACAGGAUCUGUCAGCAUGUCAAUGAACUUGAGACAGAGCUGCCCAAGUGCACACGAGGACAUUGGAACUACACUACCCACUUACACCAAACCGGCUGGGGUUUCAUGGACAGGAAAGGGAAGUGAUGUGGUGAAAGGAUAUUUGUCUAUUGGACAUUCAGUGGCGGGUGGGAGUCCAAAAUAAUGGGCUAUUGCCAGAGUUACUGUGGGGGGGGGGGGUGUUUUCUUUAUAUAGACAGGGAACAUAGCAACAUUCACCCAAUAACGUUUACCUUGUUUAAUUCACACUUGCACACGUACAGACAGAUUGCAAACUGGGAUGUAUUUCCUAUUAUAAGGGCAUCCAGGGAAAGUAGUUAGUGAUCCAAGACAUCCUGAGUGGGGGCUUAAGCUGGUGGUAUUUGUUAGUUUUCAGAGGGACCUCUAGCUAUUUGAACCUGACAAUUAUGCGUCUGAUGUGGCAAAGAAACAUUCACAUUUAAUUUUAAAUAAAGCACAAAUUUAAUAAAAUCAUUAGGAAAACACCACUUCUGAUAAAAGUGUCUCACAUUCUAUCAUAUAAUUUUGAACAUAUAGAAAUAAUUCAUUUAUGAAUUAAGCUUCCACAUUUAUCUUUAUAGGUCUCCUAAUGUUGACUGAUUCCAUUGAAGUUUGUUUUGCCCUAAAUACUCAUUACUGAAUCAAUGUCAAGCUAAUUUGAUGUCUGUGUUAACAAUGUCUCCAAGGCAAAUUCUUAUCUUGAAUCAAUGCAUAUUUAAGCAUUUAUUGCUGCAUGUCUGUUGAAAAAUUAUGCUUGAAAGUGUACAAUUUUUUGUUGAUGUUAAAUGUUAGAAGAAAAAUAAAUUGUCUAAUUAUA
Long non-coding RNA from Mauremys reevesii (Reeves's turtle), 3014 nucleotides. RefSeq lists it as uncharacterized. Lineage: Eukaryota; Metazoa; Chordata; Testudines; Geoemydidae. The record is from RefSeq and is a predicted model, not a curated record. The transcript has 2 exons.